Zonotrichia leucophrys gambelii is the source of this 563-nucleotide long non-coding RNA. RefSeq lists it as uncharacterized. NCBI's taxonomy places the organism in Eukaryota, Metazoa, Chordata, Aves, Passeriformes, Passerellidae. The record is from RefSeq and is a predicted model, not a curated record. The transcript is spliced from 4 exons.
CACCUGCCGCCGCUGUUAGCCCGCCCCUCGCCCGCCCCGCCCGCGCCCCGCUCCUCCGGCCGGCCGGCCGCGGAGGCGGCGGUGGGAAGCCGGGGUGGGGCCCGCGGCCCAUCCCCGCCGCUCUGCCCCGCUGAGGGGGCUGCGCCCAGCGGGGCUUCCAAGCCCCACCCUGCACUUCAGAUAAUUCUGCCCUUUGGGAAAACACUGAUAUCAAGCACACUUCCUUCAGAAAUGAAGUUGGAUCUGUACAAGUCAUAAAAUCGGGCACGUACUUAUGCAGCAGCGCCAACAGCCAGCAUCAAACAUCAGUGAGCAAAGCCAUGGGCUCUCAAGUGCGUGGUCUUGAAGACCAAGUAGGUCUCUGCAGCACAGAGCUGUCAGGGGCUUAAACAAAGGCACUCUAAGUAGAGGCAAGCAGGUGCAUCCCCCUACUUCCCGAGAUCCAGCAGCAGCGCGCCCCCGCGGCUGGGGAGAGCCCACCGCCUGCCCUGCUGUCAUACCCGGCAGCCGCAGCACUGGGGACAGCUGCGGCAGGGCCGUACCCAGCACUGAGUCCCCGAACC